CAGGCUUAACACAUGCAAGUCGAGGGGCAUCAGGAAGAAAGCUUGCUUUCUUUGCUGGCGACCGGCGCACGGGUGAGUAACACGUAUCCAACCUGCCCUUUACUCGGGGAUAGCCUUUCGAAAGAAAGAUUAAUACCCGAUGGCAUAAUGAUUCCGCAUGGUUUCAUUAUUAAAGGAUUCCGGUAAAGGAUGGGGAUGCGUUCCAUUAGGUUGUUGGUGAGGUAACGGCUCACCAAGCCUUCGAUGGAUAGGGGUUCUGAGAGGAAGGUCCCCCACAUUGGAACUGAGACACGGUCCAAACUCCUACGGGAGGCAGCAGUGAGGAAUAUUGGUCAAUGGGCGCUAGCCUGAACCAGCCAAGUAGCGUGAAGGAUGAAGGCUCUAUGGGUCGUAAACUUCUUUUAUAUAAGAAUAAAGUGCAGUAUGUAUACUGUUUUGUAUGUAUUAUAUGAAUAAGGAUCGGCUAACUCCGUGCCAGCAGCCGCGGUAAUACGGAGGAUCCGAGCGUUAUCCGGAUUUAUUGGGUUUAAAGGGAGCGUAGGUGGACUGGUAAGUCAGUUGUGAAAGUUUGCGGCUCAACCGUAAAAUUGCAGUUGAUACUGUCAGUCUUGAGUACAGUAGAGGUGGGCGGAAUUCGUGGUGUAGCGGUGAAAUGCUUAGAUAUCACGAAGAACUCCGAUUGCGAAGGCAGCUCACUGGACUGCAACUGACACUGAUGCUCGAAAGUGUGGGUAUCAAACAGGAUUAGAUACCCUGGUAGUCCACACAGUAAACGAUGAAUACUCGCUGUUUGCGAUAUACAGUAAGCGGCCAAGCGAAAGCAUUAAGUAUUCCACCUGGGGAGUACGCCGGCAACGGUGAAACUCAAAGGAAUUGACGGGGGCCCGCACAAGCGGAGGAACAUGUGGUUUAAUUCGAUGAUACGCGAGGAACCUUACCCGGGCUUAAAUUGCAGUGGAAUGAUGUGGAAACAUGUCAGUGAGCAAUCACCGCUGUGAAGGUGCUGCAUGGUUGUCGUCAGCUCGUGCCGUGAGGUGUCGGCUUAAGUGCCAUAACGAGCGCAACCCUUAUCUUUAGUUACUAACAGGUUAUGCUGAGGACUCUAGAGAGACUGCCGUCGUAAGAUGUGAGGAAGGUGGGGAUGACGUCAAAUCAGCACGGCCCUUACGUCCGGGGCUACACACGUGUUACAAUGGGGGGUACAGAAGGCAGCUAGCGGGUGACCGUAUGCUAAUCCCAAAAGCCUCUCUCAGUUCGGAUCGAAGUCUGCAACCCGACUUCGUGAAGCUGGAUUCGCUAGUAAUCGCGCAUCAGCCACGGCGCGGUGAAUACGUUCCCGGGCCUUGUACACACCGCCCGUCAAGCCAUGGGAGCCGGGGGUACCUGAAGUACGUAACCGCAAGGAUCGUCCUAGGGUAAAACUGGUGACUGGGG
This 1434-nucleotide ribosomal RNA is filed under the name uncultured organism. Its description in RNAcentral is "16S ribosomal RNA". It matches the Rfam family "Bacterial small subunit ribosomal RNA". The record is from RNAcentral.